AUGAACGCUGGCGGCGUGCCUAAUACAUGCAAGUCGAGCGAACAGACAAGGAGCUUGCUCCUUUGACGUUAGCGGCGGACGGGUGAGUAACACGUGGGUAACCUACCUAUAAGACUGGGAUAACUUCGGGAAACCGGAGCUAAUACCGGAUAAUAUUUCGAACCGCAUGGUUCGAUAGUGAAAGAUGGUUUUGCUAUCACUUAUAGAUGGACCCGCGCCGUAUUAGCUAGUUGGUAAGGUAACGGCUUACCAAGGCGACGAUACGUAGCCGACCUGAGAGGGUGAUCGGCCACACUGGAACUGAGACACGGUCCAGACUCCUACGGGAGGCAGCAGUAGGGAAUCUUCCGCAAUGGGCGAAAGCCUGACGGAGCAACGCCGCGUGAGUGAUGAAGGUCUUCGGAUCGUAAAACUCUGUUAUUAGGGAAGAACAUACGUGUAAGUAACUAUGCACGUCUUGACGGUACCUAAUCAGAAAGCCACGGCUAACUAC
This 493-nucleotide ribosomal RNA is filed under the name Staphylococcus haemolyticus. RNAcentral's name for it is "bacterial SSU rRNA". It matches the Rfam family "Bacterial small subunit ribosomal RNA", at positions 29 to 504 of the family's 1533-position model. The record is from RNAcentral. Lineage: Bacteria; Bacillati; Bacillota; Bacilli; Caryophanales; Staphylococcaceae.